Molecule: ribosomal RNA, 627 nt
Filed under: uncultured Bacteroides sp.
Lineage: Bacteria; Pseudomonadati; Bacteroidota; Bacteroidia; Bacteroidales; Bacteroidaceae
Description: bacterial SSU rRNA
Rfam family: Bacterial small subunit ribosomal RNA
Source: RNAcentral
GUCGAGGGGCAGCUUUUGAGUAGCAAUACUUCAGAUGGCGACCGGCGCACGGGUGAGUAACACGUAUCCAACCUGCCGUUUACUCGGGGAUAGCCUUUCGAAAGAAAGAUUAAUACCCGAUAGUAUAACGAGUCCGCAUGGUUUCAUUAUUAAAGAAUUUCGGUAAUCGAUGGGGAUGCGUUCCAUUAGAUAGUUGGCGGGGUAACGGCCCACCAAGUCUUCGAUGGAUAGGGGUUCUGAGAGGAAGGUCCCCCACAUUGGAACUGAGACACGGUCCAAACUCCUACGGGAGGCAGCAGUGAGGAAUAUUGGUCAAUGGACGAGAGUCUGAACCAGCCAAGUAGCGUGAAGGAUGACUGCCCUAUGGGUUGUAAACUUCUUUUAUAUGGGAAUAAAGUGAGCCACGUGUACCUUUUUGUAUGUACCAUAUGAAUAAGGAUCGGCUAACUCCGUGCCAGCAGCCGCGGUAAUACGGAGGAUCCGAGCGUUAUCCGGAUUUAUUGGGUUUAAAGGGAGCGUAGGUGGACAGUUAAGUCAGUUGUGAAAGUUUGCGGCUCAACCGUAAAAUUGCAGUUGAUACUGGCUGUCUUGAGUACAGUAGAGGUGGGCGGAAAUUCGUGGUGAGCG